CCUACGGGAGGCAGCAGUAGGGAAUCUUCCACAAUGGGCGAAAGCCUGACGGAGCAACGCCGCGUGGGUGAAGAAGGUCUUCGGAUCGUAAGAUCCUGUUGUUAGAGAAGAAAGUGCGUGAGAGCAACUGUUCACGUUUCGAUGGUAUCUAACCAGAAAGCCACGGCUAACUACGUGCCAGCAGCCGCGGUAAUACGGAGGUGGCAAGCGUUUUCCGGAUUCAUUGGGCGUAAAGGGAACGCAGGCGGUCUUUUAAGUCUGAUGUGAAAGCCGUCGGCUUAACCGGAGUAGUGCAUUGGAAACUUGGAGACUUGAGUGCAGAAGAGGAGAAUGGAACUCCAGGUGUAGCGGUGAAAUGCGUAGAUAUAUGGAAGAACACCAGUGGCGAAAGCGGCUCACUGGUCUGUAACUGACGCUGAGGUUCGAAAGCGUGGGUAGCAAACAGGAUUAGAUACCCUUGUAGUC
RNAcentral lists this ribosomal RNA (465 nucleotides) under uncultured bacterium. RNAcentral's name for it is "partial 16S ribosomal RNA". It matches the Rfam family "Bacterial small subunit ribosomal RNA", at positions 338 to 795 of the family's 1533-position model. The record is from RNAcentral.